This 409-nucleotide ribosomal RNA is filed under the name bacterium. RNAcentral's name for it is "partial 16S ribosomal RNA". It matches the Rfam family "Bacterial small subunit ribosomal RNA", at positions 355 to 776 of the family's 1533-position model. The record is from RNAcentral.
UGGGGAAUAUUGCACAAUGGGCGAAAGCCUGAUGCAGCGACGCCGCGUGAGGGAUGACGGCCUUCGGGUUGUAAACCUCUUUCAGUAGGGACGAAGCGCAAGUGACGGUACCUGCAGAAGAAGCACCGGCUAACUACGUGCCAGCAGCCGCGGUAAUACGUAGGGUGCGAGCGUUGUCCGUAAUUACUGGGCGUAAAGAGCUCGUAGGCGGUUUGUCACGUCGUCUGUGAAAUCCUAGGGCUUAACCCUGGACGUGCAGGCGAUACGGGCUUACUUGAGUACUACAGGGGAGACUGGAAUUGCUGGUGUAGCGGUGGAAUGCACAGAUAUCAGGAAGAACACCGAUGGCGAAGGCAGGUCUCUGGGUAGUAACUGACGCUGAGGAGCGAAAGCAUGGGUAGCGAACAGG